ACGCACGCUGGCGGCGUGCCUAAUACAUGCAAGUAGAACGCACAGUUUAUACCGUAGCUUGCUACACCAUAGACUGUGAGUUGCGAACGGGUGAGUAACGCGUAGGUAACCUGCCUGGUAGCGGGGGAUAACUAUUGGAAACGAUAGCUAAUACCGCAUAAUAUUAAUUAUUGCAUGAUAAUUAAUUGAAAGGUGCAAUUGCACCACUACCAGAUGGACCUGCGUUGUAUUAGCUAGUAGGUGAGGUAACGGCUCACCUAGGCGACGAUACAUAGCCGACCUGAGAGGGUGAUCGGCCACACUGGGACUGAGACACGGCCCAGACUCCUACGGGAGGCAGCAGUAGGGAAUCUUCGGCAAUGGACGAAAGUCUGACCGAGCAACGCCGCGUGAGUGAAGAAGGGUGUCGGAUCGUAAAGCUCUGUUGUAAGAGAAGAACGGGUGUGAGAGUGGAAAGUUCACACUGUGACGGUAUCUUACCAGAAAGGGACGGCUAACUACGUG
RNAcentral lists this ribosomal RNA (504 nucleotides) under uncultured bacterium. Its description in RNAcentral is "partial 16S ribosomal RNA". It matches the Rfam family "Bacterial small subunit ribosomal RNA", at positions 29 to 507 of the family's 1533-position model. The record is from RNAcentral.